AACUAAAGGAGUUGACGGGGGCCCGCACAAGCGGUGGAGCAUGUGGUUUAAUUCGAUGAUACGCGAGGAACCUUACCUGGGCUCAAAUGUAUGUUGACGUAUUCUGAAAGGGAUACUUCUUCGGACAAUAUACAAGGUGCUGCAUGGUUGUCGUCAGCUCGUGCCGUGAGGUGUCGGGUUAAGUCCCAUAACGAGCGCAACCCCUAUCAUUAGUUGCCAUCAGGUCAAGCUGGGGACUCUAAUGAAACUGCCUACGCAAGUAGUGAGGAAGGUGGGGAUGACGUCAAAUCAGCACGGCCCUUACGUCCAGGGCUACACACGUGCUACAAUGGCCGGUACAAGGGGCAGCUACCUGGUGACAGGAUGCUAAUCUCAAAAGCCGGUCUCAGUUCGGAUCGGAGUCUGCAACCCGACUCCGUAAAGCUGGAAUCGCUAGUAAUCGCGCAUCAGCCAUGGCGCGGUGAAUACGUUCCCGGGCCUU
This 481-nucleotide ribosomal RNA is filed under the name uncultured Sphingobacteriales bacterium. RNAcentral describes it as "bacterial SSU rRNA". It matches the Rfam family "Bacterial small subunit ribosomal RNA", at positions 903 to 1382 of the family's 1533-position model. Lineage: Bacteria; Pseudomonadati; Bacteroidota; Sphingobacteriia; Sphingobacteriales. The record is from RNAcentral.